AAAACCAGGAGACAUAAAUCACCUUUGGACAACCUACCAGAGAUUUGGGAGUUUCCCACGUGCACCUGAAUGCAGCACUGACAGUUUCUAACGGUGAAGGUAGAAAGUGUGUGUGAGCUGAUUUGGAUUGAGCAGCAUGGAUCAGUGUGAGGACAGAGAGGAGGGAGCCCCUCCCUCUAAAAGAGCCAGAGAGAGCCAGACCAAAGCUCAGAGGAACCCACCUGGACCUCCACCCAGAGAGCAUGACAAGUCUAAAAGCCCUCCCAUAGAAGACCUGCCUGUGUCUGCUGCAGAGAGGACCCAUGGGACUCCAGCUGGACUUGAAGCUGGACCCAGCUGUGUGUCCUUCAAGAGUGACCGGUCUAGACGUCAGCCCAUUGAUUUUAAAGUCCAGCAGGUGUCUGCUGCAGAGAGAGUGGACCAGGAGAGCUCAGAGGUUCAACGUGGUCAGACUGCCCAUCAAACACAGCUGGACUCCAUAUUUAUGCUGCUGGAGGACAACAUCAUCACGUUUGUGAAGAACGAGCUGAAGAAGAUCCUGAAGCUUCUGAGUCCAGAUUACCCAGAAUGCUUAGAGAGUCAGAGGGAGGAUGAUGAGAAGAGCAGAAGCAGAGAGGCAU
This is a long non-coding RNA of Astatotilapia calliptera (eastern happy), 620 nucleotides long. The record is from Ensembl. NCBI's taxonomy places the organism in Eukaryota, Metazoa, Chordata, Actinopteri, Cichliformes, Cichlidae.